AUUGUCCGAGGCUGAACUCCAGUGAAACCUUUGAGAGGGCAGAAGAGAGAGAAACAUCGAUGUGAGAGAGAAACAUGGAUGAAUAGGCUGCUUCCCAUAUGAGCCCCACCCAGGGAUUGAACCUGUAACCUAGAUAUAUGCCCUCAUGGAAUGAAACCUGCAACUUUUUGGUGCACAGGACGAUGAUCCAACCAAGGAAAACUUGGAAAAGUGGCUGACAGAGACAACUGCACCUUCUGCUUCUUCCUUUUUGGAGUGUAGUCAGCACACCUGGAUAUAGUCUGGAGCUCUGCUCAUAACAACCAAGCAUACUGUGGAUAAGAGCAUGCUGAACAGAAGUAGGAAAGGUAUUUUUUUGUGGAGCCUCUAUUCCAUCUAAACCUUUUUAUUUACAUGAGAAAAAAAAGUAUGCAUUAAUUUGUUUACAGUAUAGUGUUAUGUACUCUGUCAUAGGGAAAUGCAAUUCCUAAUGUAAUUAGUGUGAGUAAUAUUCAAAAUAUUUGUUCUGUUAAAAUCAACUACUUUUAACUUGCCUUGUAGUACUAGAGGACCAAGGGGACUGUGGAAUGCAAGAAAUUUGUCUUAAUCUGGGUUGUUGUUAUCCAGAUAGUCUAAUUGCUGGCGAGUCUCUCCUAUUGGCCAAGAUGGUAGCAGAGGGAGUUUCUUACACUGAGCGUGUCCAAGGCUAGAGAUAUGAAUGGAUAGGACCCGGAGCAUCAGCAGCUGACUCAUGAGUUUGGGUUUUGUGGUAGCAGGCAGCUGAACCUUUGCUUUUGUUCUGUUACAUUGUGGUUACAUGUACAUGUGAGAUAUGUAACAUAUCUCACAUAUAUAAAAAUUAAUGAGUUGUACACUGAUUAAUGAUGCAGACAUCGGCCCACAGUGUCCACAGCAUUGUGUAUGA
This is a long non-coding RNA of Phyllostomus hastatus (greater spear-nosed bat), 904 nucleotides long. RefSeq lists it as uncharacterized. Lineage: Eukaryota; Metazoa; Chordata; Mammalia; Chiroptera; Phyllostomidae. The transcript is spliced from 3 exons. The record is from RefSeq and is a predicted model, not a curated record.